AACGUAGGUGGCAAGCGUUAUCCGGAUUUACUGGGCGUAAAGCGUGCGCAGGCGGUUCGUUGUGUCGGUGGUGAAAUCCCCGGGCUUAACCUGGGAAUGGCCAUGGAAACUGGCGAACUGGAGUGCGGCAGAGGGGGGUGGAAUUCCGCGUGUAGCAGUGAAAUGCGUAGAGAUGCGGAGGAACACCGAUGGCGAAGGCAGCCCCCUGGGCUAGCACUGACGCUCAGGCACGAAAGCGUGGGGAGCAAACAGG
RNAcentral lists this ribosomal RNA (253 nucleotides) under uncultured bacterium. Its description in RNAcentral is "partial 16S ribosomal RNA". It matches the Rfam family "Bacterial small subunit ribosomal RNA", at positions 524 to 776 of the family's 1533-position model. The record is from RNAcentral.